This 854-nucleotide ribosomal RNA is filed under the name uncultured Actinomyces sp. RNAcentral's name for it is "bacterial SSU rRNA". It matches the Rfam family "Bacterial small subunit ribosomal RNA", at positions 53 to 895 of the family's 1533-position model. Lineage: Bacteria; Bacillati; Actinomycetota; Actinomycetes; Actinomycetales; Actinomycetaceae. The record is from RNAcentral.
ACAUGCAAGUCGAACGAAAAUACCAAGCUUGCUUGGUUGAUUAGUGGCGAACGGGUGAGUAACACGUGAGUAACCUGCCCCUUACUUUCCUGGAUAACUGCUCGAAAGGGUAGCUAAUACGGGAUAUUCUGACCAUCCUGCAUGGGUUGGUUUGGAAAGGUUGUUUUUUCUGGUAAGGGAUGGGCUCGCGGCCUAUCAGCUUGUUGGUGGGGUGAUGGCCUACCAAGGCUUUGACGGGUAGCCGGCCUGAGAGGGUGGACGGUCACACUGGGACUGAGAUACGGCCCAGACUCCUACGGGAGGCAGCAGUGGGGAAUAUUGCACAAUGGGCGCAAGCCUGAUGCAGCGACGCCGCGUGAGGGAUGAAGGCCUUCAGGUUGUAAACCUCUUUCGUCAGGGAACAAGGCACUGCUUUGGUGGUGUUGAGGGUACCUGGAUAAGAAGCGCCGGCUAACUACGUGCCAGCAGCCGCGGUAAUACGUAGGGCGCAAGCGUUGUCCGGAAUUAUUGGGCGUAAAGAGCUCGUAGGCGGCUGGUCGCGUCUGUCGUGAAAACUUCCGGCUCAACCGGGGGCUUGCGGUGGGUACGGGCCGGCUAGAGUGCGGUAGGGGUAACUGGAACUCCUGGUGUAGCGGUGGAAUGCGCAGAUAUCAGGAAGAACACCGAUGGCGAAGGCAGGUUACUGGGCCGUUACUGACGCUGAGGAGCGAAAGCGUGGGGAGCGAACAGGAUUAGAUACCCUGGUAGUCCACGCUGUAAACGUUGGGCACUAGGUGUGAGGCUCCUUUCCGGNGGGUUUUGCGCCGUAGCUAACGCAUUAAGUGCCCCGCCUGGGGAGUACGGCCGCCAAGGCU